UGUGAAUCUAACACUAUUCCUAGAAAUUAGCAUCCAUGGAUGAAUUUAUUUAAGUUCAUUUAAGUAAAAGACUAUGUCUAGCUCUUUCUAAAUCAAAAUAUCAAUUUCGGAAUUUUACGUCGGAAAAGCAUUAAGCACAUAAUUAAAUCAUCAACAUAACGAAAUAAAGAUUAUAUAUAACCAGACAGAUUAAAAAUUUACAAGAGAAUUAUAACUAGCUAAACCCAGUGGCGUCUCCGAGUUUUUGGAGGCUCUGUGCGAAAUAUGAAAGUGAGCCUUUAAUU
This 284-nucleotide long non-coding RNA is filed under the name Trifolium pratense (red clover). Its description in RNAcentral is "long non-coding RNA (TPRA_LNC011894)". The record is from RNAcentral. Lineage: Eukaryota; Viridiplantae; Streptophyta; Magnoliopsida; Fabales; Fabaceae.